Molecule: ribosomal RNA, 467 nt
Filed under: uncultured bacterium
Lineage: Bacteria
Description: partial 16S ribosomal RNA
Rfam family: Bacterial small subunit ribosomal RNA
Source: RNAcentral
GACGAACGCUGGCGGCGUGCUUAACACAUGCAAGUCGAACGGAAAGGCCUCUUUCGGGGGGUACUCGAGUGGCGAACGGGUGAGUAACACGUGAGUAACCUGCCCUUGACUUUGGGAUAACUUCAGGAAACUGGGGCUAAUACCGGAUAGGAGCUCCUGCUGCAUGGUGGGGGUUGGAAAGUUUCGGCGGUUGGGGAUGGACUCGCGGCUUAUCAGCUUGUUGGUGGGGUAGUGGCUUACCAAGGCUUUGACGGGUAGCCGGCCUGAGAGGUUGACCGGCCACAUUGGGACUGAGAUACGGCCCAGACUCCUACGGGAGGCAGCAGUGGGGAAUAUUGCACAAUGGGUGGAAGCCUGAUGCAGCAACGCCGUGUGCGGGAUGACGGCCUUCGGGUUGUAAACCGCUUUCGCUCAUGACGAAGCUUUGUGUGACGGUAGUGGGUAAAGAAGCACCGGCUAACUACGUG